RNAcentral lists this ribosomal RNA (423 nucleotides) under uncultured bacterium. RNAcentral's name for it is "bacterial SSU rRNA". It matches the Rfam family "Bacterial small subunit ribosomal RNA", at positions 358 to 773 of the family's 1533-position model. The record is from RNAcentral.
GGAAUAUUGGACAAUGGGGGCAACCCUGAUCCAGCAAUGCCGCGUGUGUGAAGAAGGCCUGCGGGUUGUAAAGCACUUUCAGUUGGGAGGAAGAUUGUGAUGCUAAUAUCAUCAUGGUUUGACGCUACCAACAGAAGAAGCACCGGCUAACUCUGUGCCAGCAGCCGCGGUAAUACAGAGGGUGCAAGCGUUAAUCGGAAUUACUGGGCGUAAAGGGCGCGUAGGUGGAAGUUUAAGUCAGAGGUGAAAUCCCUGGGCUUAACCUAGGAAUUGCCUCUGAUACUGGACUUCUAGAGUACAGUAGAGGAAAGUGGAAUUUCCGGUGUAGCGGUGAAAUGCGUAGAUAUCGGAAGGAACAUCAGUGGCGAAGGCGACUUUCUGGACUGUGACUGACACUGAGGCGCGAAAGCGUGGGGAGCAAAC